UCAGGAUGAACGCUAGCUACAGGCUUAACACAUGCAAGUCGAGGGGCGAGCGGGGACUGUGCUUGCACAGUUGCCGGCGACCGGCGCACGGGUGAGUAACGCGUAUCCAACCUUCCCCUUAGUAGGGCAUAGCCCGUAGAAAUGCGGAUUAAUACCCUAUGUUCUUCGUCGAGGACAUCUGAAGUGAAGCAAAGAUUUAUCGCUAAGGGAUGGGGAUGCGUCUGAUUAGGCAGCAGGCGGGGUAACGGCCCACCUGGCCGACGAUCAGUAGGGGUUCUGAGAGGAAGGUCCCCCACAUUGGAACUGAGACACGGUCCAAACUCCUACGGGAGGCAGCAGUGAGGAAUAUUGGUCAAUGGUCGAGAGACUGAACCAGCCAAGUAGCGUGCAAGGAUGACGGCCCUAUGGGUUGUAAACUGCUUUUAUGCGGGGAUAAAGUGCGGCACGUGUGCCGUUUUGUAGGUACCGCAUGAAUAAGGACCGGCUAAUUCCGUGCCAGCCGCUGC
This 506-nucleotide ribosomal RNA is filed under the name uncultured bacterium. Its description in RNAcentral is "bacterial SSU rRNA". It matches the Rfam family "Bacterial small subunit ribosomal RNA", at positions 24 to 518 of the family's 1533-position model. The record is from RNAcentral.